RNAcentral lists this ribosomal RNA (301 nucleotides) under uncultured bacterium. Its description in RNAcentral is "partial 16S ribosomal RNA". It matches the Rfam family "Bacterial small subunit ribosomal RNA", at positions 509 to 808 of the family's 1533-position model. The record is from RNAcentral.
CAGUAGCCGCGGGAAUACGAAGGGUGCAAGCGCUAAUCGGAAUUACUGGGCGUAAAGCGCACGCAGGCGGUUUGUUAAGUCAGAUGUGAAAUCCCCCGAGCUUAACUUGGGAACUGCAUUUGAAACUGGCAAGCUAGAGUCUUGUAGAGGGGGGUAGAAUUCCAGGUGUAGCGGUGAAAUGCGUAGAGAUCUGGAGGAAUACCGGUGGCGAAGGCGGCCCCCUGGACAAAGACUGACGCUCAGGUGCGAAAGCGUGGGGAGCAAACAGGAUUAGAUACCCGGGUAGUCCCUGUCUCUUAUA